UGGGGAAUAUUGGACAAUGGGCGAAAGCCUGAUCCAGCCAUGCCGCGUGUGUGAAGAAGGCCUUUUGGUUGUAAAGCACUUUAAGUGGGGAGGAAAAGCUUAUGGUUAAUACCCAUAAGCCCUGACGUUACCCACAGAAUAAGCACCGGCUAACUCUGUGCCAGCAGCCGCGGUAAUACAGAGGGUGCAAGCGUUAAUCGGAAUUACUGGGCGUAAAGCGCGCGUAGGUGGUUAUUUAAGUCAGAUGUGAAAGCCCCGGGCUUAACCUGGGAACUGCAUCUGAUACUGGAUAACUAGAGUAGGUGAGAGGGGAGUAGAAUUCCAGGUGUAGCGGUGAAAUGCGUAGAGAUCUGGAGGAAUACCGAUGGCGAAGGCAGCUCCCUGGCAUCAUACUGACACUGAGGUGCGAAAGCGUGGGUAGCAAACAGGAUUAGAUACCCUGGUAGUCCACGCCGUAAACGAUGUCUACCAGUCGUUGGGUCUUUUAAAAGACUUAGUGACGCAGUUAACGCAAUAAGUAACCGCCUGGGGAGUACGGCCGCAAGGUUA
This 549-nucleotide ribosomal RNA is filed under the name uncultured bacterium. RNAcentral describes it as "bacterial SSU rRNA". It matches the Rfam family "Bacterial small subunit ribosomal RNA", at positions 355 to 896 of the family's 1533-position model. The record is from RNAcentral.